Molecule: long non-coding RNA, 3284 nt
Filed under: Equus caballus (horse)
Lineage: Eukaryota; Metazoa; Chordata; Mammalia; Perissodactyla; Equidae
Description: lncRNA (ENSECAG00000045116.1)
Source: RNAcentral
CGAAACUCUUGGAAGUGUCCCUCUUAGCACAUCUAUAUCUACCCAGAUGGUGGGUGAGGGGUGAGAAAGAAGCUCCUAAGGAUGUCUCCUAAGGAUGACAUUCUAGAAAAUGGUCCUUGACAUGUUGCCAAUGGAUGCAAUUGUUCAAGUGAACCUCUUGAAAACACUCAGCGCUAGCCAGGCAACUGGAAGCAAUGCUGGAGAACAUGAGUCUGGGAUUCAGGGAGACCUGGUUUCAAGCCUGGUUCCACCCUUUACUGCCUCUGACCUUAGAAGUUUCUAACUUCUCUAAGCCUUCUCUCCGAGCUUCUGGUAGCCUUUUAACAAAUCCCAGUUCUGCUGAAGUUCACCUGGGUUUCCUCAUCUGCACACAGGAUUAAUACAAUGAUAACAAUAUUUUCCUUGGAGGGUUGUUGUGGGCUCAGGCGCUUGACCUUGUGCACAGACAAAUCCUCAGUUUUUGAUGUGGCCUACUACACGAAGAACUUCAUUUUGGAUAAAACGCCCGUAUCCUGGCUGCUUCAUCCUGCAGGCGGCAGGAUUUGGUUCCCUGUGGUUCCAGAUGGUGCCGGAUUUCCCCAUGUUGAGAGCAUAGCUCUCAGUUUGAUGUGGCAGUGUUUGCUGUGGUUAUGUCUUUCAACACACUUCCUGCUUUUCUUACAAAACAGAGACUGCUCAUCCCUCUCUUGGAGGCCACAGCCCAAACGCUUACAGGUUUAUUAGAGGGCCAACUUGAGCAGGCCUUGGGCACGUGUUCGGCCCCUCAGUGUGUGGCCUUUUUCUCUGCGAACAUCAGGGUUAAUCUAUUGUGGACUUUACUUUCUGUUGGAGUGAAUGAUUGCAAUUCUGUGAAGGGAACAUGAGGUUUGCAGCAACUCACAGCUUCAGCUUUCAAGUGGAAAUCUUGUUUGGCUCCCCCAGCAACAAGAGAAGAUAGAAUCCAGCCAUUUUUGUAGUCAAGAUUGCCUGGGUCACGUGAUCUCAAUGGCAAUGAUCACAGUUGCUAGAAAUUCAGAGAUUCCUAAGCUACAGGAGCUGAAAAGGGCCGGAGAACUUCUAAAGGCAACUCCUCUAUGUUUCAGAGGUGGAAGCAGAAGUCCAGAGAGGUUAAAGGACUGGCCCAAGGUCACACAACUAGCCUGAUCUUCAUGGUCAUUGUGGAAUCAUUCCAAAAAUAUUUUGGAUGCAUUUCUUUGCUUAGUCAUCCCCAUUUCCUACAACUUCUAACCACCAUAUGAUAAAAAUAAUGUAUUAACCAUUUAUUUUUUUAGUGAAUUUUGGCCUUAUGGAAAUAACAAAAGCCACGUUACAGUAUAAUUGGAAAAUAGAGGGGAAAAAAUCGCCCACACAAUAUUUGACCUGAUGUCUAUUUAACUAUUACUGUAAAAUCCUUUGGUAUUUUUCUUAUUUUGCUUUUUAAUUAUUAAAAUAUAGUUGCCUGGAGAUAAAAAUUUAAACAGUCUAGAAAGCCGUAAAAAGGAAGUCUUCUUCUCCACUCUUUUCCUAGUUUUCCUCCUAACAGGCAUCUUCUUUUGAUUGUUUCUCUUUCUUCUGGUAGCUACCUUGGUUGAUAUUGCUAGGUAGCACACUACACCUGUGUCUUCAUUCAGCCGCUUUAAGCACUAUCCGUAGCCUUUUAGCUACGACAGGUGAGUAACUCACUUAUCCACCGUCUUCUCCCACCUCCAAAUCACUGAUAGUUUUUAUAUCUUCCAAUGGUUAACUUUAUGAUUUUGCAUGAUAUUCAAUCUCUGCUUAUGGAGUUGUGGGUAGUAAUUGUUGAUUCCCUACGAUGUAAGAUAGGAAAUUAAUACCCCUUUACUUCCCUCCACUUCUCUCUCUCUCUUCUACUCUCCGCCCUCUCUCAACUACACCACUUGUUUUACAUUGUUGAGGGUUAUAGGGCAGGCAUUCUAUUUAGUAAAUUUGUCCUACGUGCUUUGUCAGAAAGUUAAUUCUGAUAAUUGAAAGCCAAUGAACAAACAGUAUUUAAAGUACAAAGAUGAUGUAAAUAUUUUUCCCUACAGAAGCAGGUAUUCUGCUGAGAUUUGUAGAGAGGAACGUUCCAAUGCCAAGGUCAAGUGGAUCUUCUUUUCUUAGACUCCAUCAGCUACACAAAAUCAUAAUACUUUUUGGUUGGUUUUACAUUUGGGCCACGAUAUAUAUAUAGAUUUUUUUUUUUCACAACUUACUGUUUUCUGGAAUUUUUAGUUGAUUGAUAAUAGAAACAUAUACCUUCUUUAUAAUAUUACAAAUACCUUCCAGAUCUUUAAUUAUAUCAUUUAUUGAGUGCUCCAAAAUAUACUGACUUUUGGCUAAGCCAACUGCACAUCUGGACUAGAAUUUCUUUAAUUGUAAUUCUAAACUAGUUUAAUUUUUUCAUGUCUCACAUCUUCCUCUUUCUUGGGUGGUAUAUCAUCAAGUAAUUUUAUUUCCACAAAGAAUGUAUGAGUCAGUUCUCUGAGUUCUUGCAUGUCUGAACAAGCCUUUAUUUCUCCUCCACUCUGGAUAGAUAGUUUGGCAAGAUGUCAGAUUUUAGGUACAGAAUUAUUUCUUAAACCUGGAAGGUAAUUGCUCCAUUGUCUUCAAGCAGCAGGUAUUGCUGUUGAGAAGAAUGAAGCCAAUCUCGUUUUUAUUCUUUUGCUGGUCAUCCUGUCUCUCUUCGUACUUAGGACCUCCUUUUAUUAUCAGCAUUCUGAAAUUCCAUGAGGUUGUUUCUGUGGAUCGUUCUUUGUUCAUUGCGCUGGGUACUUGGGGUCUUUCAAUCUAAAAUUUUUGUCUUUCUUUAACUCUGAGAGAUUUUCUUCAGUUAUUUCUUUGAUAAUUUCCUUCUCCCUCCUCUCCAGCUUAAAGUGAAGCCUAAGGUCAAUGCUCCCCUUCCACACCCAGAGAGGUGUCAGACAGCCCUCUCUCAGAGAAGAGGAAGCUCUCCCCAGUGACUUCAGUGAAGCCACCCAGCCUGGCACGCUUGCACAGGAACAGGCUGCCCCAAAUCACCAUUCACACACGAAAAUAACAGAAGGACCAGGAGCAGUAAACAGAACAAACCAACCUGGAGGAGGAGGAGCUCAGUAAAGGGGAAAGAACUAAACAGAAACCCUAAACUCUAAUUGUCUUCAUGAAGAAUCAAGAUGAUACACCCCUAAAACGAAAACAGUCUCUGAUUAGAAAAGAGCAGUUGGAAACUAAGAGUUUGUUUGAUGUUUAUUAGAUUUGUGGGGGAGGGAGAAUUUCAGAUCUUCUUCAACUCCCACAUCUUUCUCUGCCACCUCAUAUAAUUAAAA